UGGGGGAUAUUGCGCAAUGGGGGCAACCCUGACGCAGCAACGCCGCGUGAAGGAUGAAGGUUUUCGGAUUGUAAACUUCUUUUAUUAAGGACGAAAAAUGACGGUACUUAAUGAAUAAGCUCCGGCUAACUACGUGCCAGCAGCCGCGGUAAUACGUAGGGAGCAAGCGUUGUCCGGAUUUACUGGGUGUAAAGGGUGCGUAGGCGGCUUUGCAAGUCAGAUGUGAAAUCUAUGGGCUCAACCCAUAAACUGCAUUUGAAACUGUAGAGCUUGAGUGAAGUAGAGGCAGGCGGAAUUCCCCGUGUAGCGGUGAAAUGCGUAGAGAUGGGGAGGAACACCAGUGGCGAAGGCGGCCUGCUGGGCUUUAACUGACGCUGAGGCACGAAAGCGUGGGUAGCAAACA
This 403-nucleotide ribosomal RNA is filed under the name uncultured prokaryote. RNAcentral describes it as "bacterial SSU rRNA". It matches the Rfam family "Bacterial small subunit ribosomal RNA", at positions 355 to 774 of the family's 1533-position model. The record is from RNAcentral.